Nicotiana tabacum (common tobacco) is the source of this 1353-nucleotide non-coding RNA. The record is from RefSeq and is a predicted model, not a curated record. NCBI's taxonomy places the organism in Eukaryota, Viridiplantae, Streptophyta, Magnoliopsida, Solanales, Solanaceae.
CCUACAUUUCUCAAUUUCCCUUCCACCGACUCUUUCUCUUGCUGAUGCCUUUUUCUUCUUCCCCCUGUUAAUAUUUUGCUCAGUUUUUAGAUUUAGUCCCAUCUGGGUUCAUUUUUUUAAUAUUUAUGUGUUACCUUUGGCUAUUAUGAAGAUGGAGAAUAUCUUUUAUCUUUUAUCUUUUACCAUUUCUAAUUUUUUUAAUGUUACAAGGAUUGGUGAGUCUUAUGUGGCUACAUUAUUGAAUUGUGUCUAUUUAGGUUUUCAAAGUGUAUGAACUGAAAGUUUGAAAAAGAAAAUUGAAAGAUGGAAAAUUUGGGGUUUCUUUGGUGACUUAUCUAUCAGUUUCUCCUACUAAGAAGCAGGGAAUUGGACACCUUCUUUGCAUCUUCCUCUGUUUUCUCGGCUAUGCAUGUGUUUGGAUCCUGUUUUUAAUAUAAUUUUUUGGGCAUCUUGAACUUUUGGGCAGUAUUUUAUUGAAUGUUAUACAUACAUGUCAGUAGAUAUGUUUGAUUUACUCAUGCACAAUAUUUUUCUCACACAAUGUUCUUUAAUUGGGUUUAUCUUCUUCUUUUUCAAAAUUAUUACUCCUAUUUUAUUAUUUUUUGACGAGACUCUAUUAAACUGAAUAGUGUAUCGCUUACUUGGGUUUUGUUUGAAAUAUGAACUUUUGAUAUUACCGAAUAUUUUUGUAUUCAUUUAGUAGGAAUAUAAUGGUCCCAAAAUAUUGAUUUUUCAGAUUUUUCUUAAAGGAAGUUGUUAACUGAAAGUGGGGAAAGGAAUAUUGCUUCACUUGUACCAGGAAAAAUGUGCUCAGCAUAUCUGAUUCUAUACUUUGACCAUAUUUUCUCCUUAUAUUGCUUUUGAUUAAAAAGGAAAAUAAAGUCCUUACCGCAGCUUGCUUAUGACUUUUUAUCUUGUACAUAGAUGUUCCGGUGACUACUAUACGCGUGGAGCAAAAUAUCUUCUUUAGUUGGAUUGACAGUCCUUUGCCGAUCAAUCUGGUGUGCUGCGAUUGUAUUAAUUGAUCUUUUUGGUGCAUCUCUUCGAUAGAUGGUCAUGAUGAGAUGGUCGUUGCUUGUGGAUAUAAGAUGAAGUAUUUGUUGUCAACUGCAACUGUCCAAAUUUUAUCCAAUAUUUUGUAUUAGUGGGACUACCAACAUGAACACGAUUUAUCUGAUUGUUUUUAUCUUUCUCAUUCUCAUAGAAGCAAGCUAAAAAUGCAAUUGGACUAAUGAAGCUAAACAAAUGAAUGUGGUGUAUUAUGUUGUAAUAUUUAGUCAACGGAUGGUAUUGCUUCGUCAUUUUAUUUUUCGGGGGUAAUCUUACUACACAAGUAUGAAAUUAUCUUUCUUA